AUUGAACGCUGGCGGCGUGCUUAACACAUGCAAGUCGAACGAAGUGGCGAACGGGUGAGUAACGCGUAAUCAACCUGCCCUUCAGAGGGGGACAACAGUGGGAAACGACUGCUAAUACCGCCUAAUGAAGGAGGGGAUUGCGUCGGAUUGGCUAGUUGGAGGGGUAACGGCCCACCAAGGCGAUGAUCAGUAGCCGGUCUGAGAGGAUGGACGGCCACAUGGGGACUGGGACACGGCCCAGACUCCUACGGGAGGCAGCAGUGGGGAAUCUUCCGCAAUGGAGGAAAGUCUGACGGAGCAACGCCGCGUGAGUGAUGACGGCCUUCGGGUUGUAAAGCUCUGUUAAUCGGGACGCGGUACCGGAAUAGAAAGCCACGGCUAACUACGUGCCAGCAGCCGCGGUAAUUC
This 408-nucleotide ribosomal RNA is filed under the name uncultured bacterium. RNAcentral describes it as "partial 16S ribosomal RNA". It matches the Rfam family "Bacterial small subunit ribosomal RNA", at positions 29 to 526 of the family's 1533-position model. The record is from RNAcentral.